RNAcentral lists this ribosomal RNA (391 nucleotides) under uncultured bacterium. Its description in RNAcentral is "partial 16S ribosomal RNA". It matches the Rfam family "Bacterial small subunit ribosomal RNA", at positions 355 to 763 of the family's 1533-position model. The record is from RNAcentral.
UGGGGAAUAUUGGACAAUGGGGGCAACCCUGAUCCAGCAAUGCCGCGUGUGUGAAGAAGGUCUUCGGAUUGUAAAGCACUUUCGACGGGGACGAUGAUGACGGUACCCGUAGAAGAAGCCCCGGCUAACUUCGUGCCAGCAGCCGCGGUAAUACGAAGGGGGCUAGCGUUGCUCGGAAUGAUUGGGCGUAAAGGGCGUGUAGGCGGUUUACACAGUCAGAUGUGAAAUCCCCGGGCUUAACCUGGGAGCUGCAUUUGAUACGUGUAGACUAGAGUGUGAGAGAGGGUUGUGGAAUUCCCAGUGUAGAGGUGAAAUUCGUAGAUAUUGGGAAGAACACCGGUGGCGAAGGCGGCAACCUGGCUCAUGACUGACGCUGAGGCGCGAAAGCGUG